UACAGAGGGUGCGAGCGUUGUCCGGAAUCACUGGGCGUAAAGGGCGCGUAGGCGGUGGCCGAAGCGUGCGGUGAAAGCCCGGGGCUCAACCCCGGGUCGGCCGUGCGAACUGGGUCACUCGAGUACUGUAGAGGCGAGUGGAAUUCCGGGUGUAGCGGUGGAAUGCGUAGAGAUCCGGAAGAACACCGGUGGCGAAGGCGGCUCGCUGGGCAGUGACUGACGCUGAGGCGCGACAGCGUGGGGAGCAAACAGG
Molecule: ribosomal RNA, 253 nt
Filed under: uncultured bacterium
Lineage: Bacteria
Description: partial 16S ribosomal RNA
Rfam family: Bacterial small subunit ribosomal RNA
Source: RNAcentral